UUGGACAGCUGAAUAAGUCAUAUGAGAUUGGUCUGCAGCAGCAUUCAUACUUCACUGAUGAAGCGGAGCUAAAGCAUGCGGAUCAUUUAAUUGCCUGGCACCUAAGCCAACAGUGGGCAUCCGAACAGGGUGCUGCUGCUCCACAGGUCCUUGGUUGGGCCUUGCACCUAAGCCAACAGUGGGCAUCCGAACAGGGUGCUGCUGCUCCACAGGUCCUUGGUUGGGCCUCAUCUGUAACAGCUGAAUAGAACAAUGAAUCUUAGCAUGAUAUCAACAUAUAUAUUUCAUGGGACCUGUAAAACUCAUCCAUAACAAGAAUUAAACUUGUUCUCAACCUACCUGUGCUUGUAUUU
This 353-nucleotide long non-coding RNA is filed under the name Arachis ipaensis. RNAcentral's name for it is "long non-coding RNA (AIPA_LNC001615)". The record is from RNAcentral. Lineage: Eukaryota; Viridiplantae; Streptophyta; Magnoliopsida; Fabales; Fabaceae.